UACAGAGGUGGCAAGCGUUGUUCGGAAUUACUGGGCGUAAAGCGCGUGUAGGCGGCUCUUCAAGUCAGGCGUGAAAGCCCCGGGCUUAACCUGGGAACUGCGUUUGAAACUGGGAGACUUGAGUGUGGCAGAGGGGGGUGGAAUUCCACGUGUAGCAGUGAAAUGCGUAGAUAUGUGGAGGAACACCGAUGGCGAAGGCAGCCCCCCUGGGUUAACACUGACGCUCAUGCACGAAAGCGUGGGGAGCAAACAGG
RNAcentral lists this ribosomal RNA (254 nucleotides) under uncultured bacterium. Its description in RNAcentral is "partial 16S ribosomal RNA". It matches the Rfam family "Bacterial small subunit ribosomal RNA", at positions 524 to 776 of the family's 1533-position model. The record is from RNAcentral.